UACGGAGGGUGCAAGCGUUGUUCGGAAUUAUUGGGCGUAAAGCGCGUGUAGGCGGUUCGUUAAGUCUGAUGUGAAAGCCCUGGGCUUAACCUGGGAAGUGCAUUGGAAACUGGCGAACUUGAGUAUGGGAGAGGGUAGUGGAAUUCCUAGUGUAGGAGUGAAAUCCGUAGAUAUUAGGAGGAACACCGGUGGCGAAGGCGGCUGCCUGGACCGAUACUGACGCUGAGACGCGAAAGCGUGGGGAGCAAACAGGAUUAGAAACCCCUGUAGU
Molecule: ribosomal RNA, 271 nt
Filed under: uncultured bacterium
Lineage: Bacteria
Description: partial 16S ribosomal RNA
Rfam family: Bacterial small subunit ribosomal RNA
Source: RNAcentral